AUGGUGACUAGGCCAGGGCGCUUGAUCCUUGUGAACCAGGUGGUGCGAGCGCGGCCCACGCACCAUCUGAUCGUGGCCGAGGCCCCCAAGUGGGCGCUGGAGAAGAUUGAUAAGGGCUGCCGCGCGUUCUUCUGGGCCGGGACGGAGGAGAUCCAGGGAGGCAAGUGCGCGGUGGCUUGGAAAAGGGUGUGCCGCCCCAAAGAGUUGGGAGGUCUUGGAGUCAUGGAUCUUUACAAACAGGGUCUGGCACUCAGGUUGAGAUGGGAGUGGUUGAAGCGGACAGAUAAUGAUCGCCCUUGGCAAGGGUUGUACUUCAGCUCGGGCAAAGACGUGACUAAGGCAUUCGAUAGCUUGGUAAAAUGGUGUGUAGGCAAGGGUUCACAAGUGUUGUUCUGGAGAGAUCGCUGGAUCAAUGGCUCUAACAUCAGCGACGUCCCGCCACUCCUCAUCGGAAAGGUUAGCAAGCAAGUGGUGAAUAGGAGGAAGGUCAAUGAAGCGCUUCUCCUACAUGCCUGGACCCAGGAUAUCUGGGGAGACAUGAACACGGAGGAGCUGCUCCAGUUCAUAAGAUUGUGGGAGAUACUGCUACAAAUGGAGCUAAGGCCUAACCUGGAGGACGUCCCGAUCUGGCAGUGGGAUGCUAGUGGCACUUACUCUCCAAGUUCAGCCUACAAGAUGAUGUGCCAUGGAGGCAUUAGGUUUCAAUGCGCUUCGGCAGUUUGGCGUUGCUGGGCGACGCUAACGUGUAAGAUCUUCACCUGGCUAGCUCUCCAACACCGGAUUUGGACAUCAGACCGGAGGCAAAGGCAUGGAUUGCAAGAACAUAGUUCGUCCUGCUUCCUGUGUGAGCAGGAGGAGGACACGGUCGAGCACCUACUCGUGCAAUGUGUGUAUGCCAGGGAAGUAUGGUUUCUCACAUUCAGGAGACUUGGCAUCGACACUGAG
Molecule: ribosomal RNA, 945 nt
Filed under: Triticum aestivum (bread wheat)
Lineage: Eukaryota; Viridiplantae; Streptophyta; Magnoliopsida; Poales; Poaceae
Description: partial small subunit ribosomal RNA
Source: RNAcentral